AAAAAACCUCAUAAACUAUGUCCCGCAUUUGAAAGCAUAAAGUCAACGUCUUUCCCUCUGUCCUGGAACAGAGGAUCCUCUAUCUUUGGAACUGAAACGGAGGAUCUUUGAUUGCACAGACUUCAACAAUGAAACAAGAGACGCUGACAUUGGUGCUAGUGAAUCUGGCUGCGAUUAUGGAGCGAGCCGAUGAGUCACUGUUGCCCGGAGUGUAUAAAGAAGUGGGUGCUGCUCUACAUACGGACCCGACUGGGCUGGGUUCGCUUACUCUGUUUAGAUCCAUAGUUCAGUCUUCUUGCUACCCAUUAGCAGCAUACCUUGCUUCGCGUCACAAUCGUGCCCGUGUUAUUGCCCUUGGUGCGUUUCUUUGGGCUGCUGCCACCUUCCUCGUCGCUAUAUCCUCCACCUUCUUUCAGGUGGCAGUUUCAAGAGGGCUAAACGGAAUUGGACUUGCCAUAGUCAUACCUGCCAUUCAGUCCCUUGUAGCUGAUUCCACUGAUGAAACCAAUCGUGGUAUGGCAUUUGGAUGGCUGCAGCUAACAGGAAAUCUUGGCUCCAUCAUCGGAGGGCUUUGUUCUGUGCUAUUAGCCUCAACAUCAUUCAUGGGGAUACCUGGUUGGAGAGUUGCUUUCCUUUUGGUUGGGAUAGUAAGUGUAGUAGUAGGUAUUUUGGUCGCACUCCUUGCUAUUGACCCACGCUUUUCUGCCUCUGAUAAUAGAUCCAGGGACCAAAAUUGUGAGUCCUUUAUUUCAGAAUUGAAGGACCUGAUCAGAGAAGCAAAGUUAGUUAUGAAAAUACCAACUUUCCAAAUACUUGUGGCUCAAGGUGUCUCUGGAUCAUUCCCUUGGUCUGCUUUAUCAUUUACCGCUAUGUGGUUAGAACUUAUUGGCUUCUCUCAUGAAAAAACAGCAUUCCUUAUGACUCUUUUUGUGAUUGCCUGUUCCCUCGGUGGUCUAUUUGGAGGGAGGAUGGGGGAUAUACUUGCUAAAUACUUCCCCAAUUCUGGGAGGAUAGUCCUGUCACAGGUAAGCUCUGGUUCGGCAGUUCCUUUAGCAGCAGUUUUGCUGUUGGUAUUGCCUGAUGAUCCUUCAACAGCAUUCAUGCAUGGUCUGGUCUUGUUCAUCAUGGGCCUGUGCAUAUCCUGGAAUGCUCCAGCAACAAACAAGCAUGUAAAUGUGUGUGCCCAGUCCAAUAUUUGCAGAGAUAGUUCCUGAGAAAUCUCGAACAAGCAUCUAUGCUUUGGAUCGAUCAUUUGAAUCAAUACUCUCUUCAUUUGCACCCCCUGUAGUUGGGAUUUUGGCUCAGCAUGUUUAUGGUUAUAAAAUUCCCAAAACAUCAUCAGACACAGUCAAAGUUGAAACAGAUAGAGAAAAUGCAGCAUCCCUUGCCAAGGCACUAUACACAGCAAUUGGCAUUCCAAUGGCAUUGUGUUGCUCCAUCUAUUCCUUCCUUUAUUAUACGUACCCAAGAGACCGGGAGCGUGCAAGGAUGAGUGCUUUGAUAGAAUCAGAAUUGCAACAACUAGAGACAGAUAGGUCUCCUUCAACAGAAGAAUACUCGCAACUACAAGUUUCAGGAUCAACAGGGAUGAAUGGAAAGGAAAGAAGCAAAAUUGACUUGGAGAAUGGGAAGGAUGAGAGCAUUGAUUUGGAUGAUAAUGAUGAGAAGGCUCUGCUUGCUCAUCAGCUAACAUUCUCAAACAUAAGAGACUGAAGAACCUGUCAUUGCAGAAGCUGGUUACUGUCCAUUUUAGUCUUCUAUACACUCUCAAAUGAUAAGUUGAAGAAACUUCAUCUCUUCUGAACUUCUGAAUUUUUUACAUGCCUUUUAAAGGUUACAAUUAAGGGAUUUUUAUUAACUCUGAGGUCUAUAUUUCUUCAGACAUGAGUAAAUUCACUUGUUCCAUCUUCCAUGUAGCUAGUUCUAAUUAUGAUGUUAAUAAAUUAU
RNAcentral lists this unclassified non-coding RNA (1947 nucleotides) under Hevea brasiliensis (rubber tree). The record is from RNAcentral. Lineage: Eukaryota; Viridiplantae; Streptophyta; Magnoliopsida; Malpighiales; Euphorbiaceae.